Molecule: long non-coding RNA, 650 nt
Filed under: Panax ginseng (ginseng)
Lineage: Eukaryota; Viridiplantae; Streptophyta; Magnoliopsida; Apiales; Araliaceae
Description: long non-coding RNA (PGIN_LNC006130)
Source: RNAcentral
UUUUCUAUCUAGGUCUAAUAUUUGACCUUAAAUCAAUCAUUUAAGAUAUUAAUAAAUUGUCCAAAUUCUCGGGUUGUCACAUUCACCCCUCCUUUUAAGAAUUUCGUCCCCGAAAUUCACCUUACACCUUACACCGUAUACCAAAUAGCUUACACCAUUCACACAUAUCACAUACUACCCAAUUCACCACUCACAAGAGUAAAAGGUUUAAAAUUUUGCUGUGGGGUCAUAUAAGAUCAUGAACUUAUUUUCUCGGGUAUCUAUCAAAGAUACUCAAAUUUCUCGGGUAUCUAUCAAAGAUACUCAAAUUUCUCGGGUAUCUAUCAAAGAUACUGAAAUUUCCCGGGUAUCUAUCAAAGAUACUCAAAUUUCUCGGGUAUCUAUCAAAGAUACUCAAAUUAAAAUAUUCCCUUAAUAUAAAAGGUUGAUCUGCUCAGUCUUAUUUGAUUCCGCAGCAAAACAAUUUGGUUCGGGAAAUUUCUUUCGAUAAACACUUGGAGUUUUUGAAAACAUUUUUGAGAAUGACGUCAUGAUGCCGCACUGUAUUUAUAGUUCGUUGAGGAUUUCGUCAUUUGGUGACUUUGUUAUACUACAUCAUACUGUAGUGGGCUGACGAUCCUUAGAUCACAUUCAACACCAAGUAAUUCUGC